UGAUCUCAUUGUGUCAGCAUCAUAGAGUUAUUUACAACACACAGAUGUCUAUGAUGUCACUAGGUGAGGGAAUCUUGUAGGUGGUCCAAAAUGCCAUUAUGAGGCAUAUGAAGAAGAGAGAAAAAAUUUUUCCUGAAACAGCAGACUGCAAGAGGUCCUGGUUGGCGACUUCACAUCCUCUGGGUUUCAAAGCCACAUGUGCCUAGAAGGGAUGCAUGUCCUCAUGCCCAGUGAUUCCUUACCUGGCCACACACGGAGAGGAGGUAGGAAGGGCAUUGUGGGGUUUGUGGAGAAGAGAGAAGACCCACAGUAACCUUGGUGUCCUUGAUGCCCCUCAUCUACACAUAGCUUCUCCCCGGCAUGCCAUGUCCUACACUUUAAGUCAGACUGGAUAAAAGAUGUUAAUGUUUGAUGUUAUCAUUAAAAAAAAAAAAAAAAAUCCUUCCCUCUUAACACUAGAGGUCACUCUGCGACCACAAAUGUGGAAGAAGCAUCCUGGGCUCCUGAAGGUCAACGAAGCUAAUCUGUAUAAAUUGCUGAACCAUGAGCCAAAUUUGUACCUAAUUAUGGGUUGCUUUGAUGCAGCCUGGUCCUAUUAAAAGUUUUCCUCUUUCCCACAGAACUCUGGAUGUUGCUACUUGCAGAUUUCAAACCAGCCGUAAUAGUUCUCAGCCAAGCAGUGGUAUUUAGGGCACUGUGACCAAGAACCCAUAUCUUCUGUGAUGCAGAGUUUUGAUGUUCAUUAUCCAGCUGGAGGAGAGCAUCUGCCACUUGCAUAUCAAAAUGCGAUAACCUAGUUUAUGUUUUUUUAUGAGAU
This is a long non-coding RNA of Fukomys damarensis (Damara mole-rat), 817 nucleotides long. RefSeq lists it as uncharacterized. The record is from RefSeq and is a predicted model, not a curated record. The transcript has 3 exons. Lineage: Eukaryota; Metazoa; Chordata; Mammalia; Rodentia; Bathyergidae.